Non-coding RNA from Schistosoma rodhaini, 46 nucleotides. Lineage: Eukaryota; Metazoa; Platyhelminthes; Trematoda; Strigeidida; Schistosomatidae. The record is from Rfam.
GCCCUGCUGAGGGGUCCCAUAAUAGGACGAAACGGUCGUGCAGUGC